CAGCCGCCGCGGUAAUACGUAGGUGGCAAGCGUUGUCCGGAAUUAUUGGGCGUAAAGCGCGCGCAGGCGGAUCAGUUAGUCUGUCUUAAAAGUUCGGGGCGUAACCCCGUGAGGGGAUGGAAACUGCUGAUCUAGAGUAUCGGAGAGGAAAGUGGAAUUCCUAGUGUAGCGGUGAAAUGCGUAGAUAUUAGGAAGAACACCAGUGGCGAAGGCGACUUUCUGGACGAAAACUGACGCUGAGGCGCGAAAGCCAGGGGAGCGAACGGGAUUAGAUACCCCAGUAGUCCCUGUCUCUUAUACA
This 301-nucleotide ribosomal RNA is filed under the name uncultured bacterium. RNAcentral describes it as "partial 16S ribosomal RNA". It matches the Rfam family "Bacterial small subunit ribosomal RNA", at positions 509 to 809 of the family's 1533-position model. The record is from RNAcentral.